AUCCUCCUGAAACCACACAGUCUGUCACAAUUGUUAGUGAUGCAUUUUAAGAACCAGUUGCUUUUAGAUCUUUCACUAUGUCUGCCAGACAAAGUAACCUUGCAUAUUUCCACUCUAGGAUGAUGAUGAAGAGACCACAUCUGCUGUGACUGAAUUAGAAAGUGCUGGGAGACCCACAGAGAAUGUAGCUGGGGAUGUAAAUGCAGAUGAGGGUCCAACUACCUCUACAUCUAAUCUUAGCAGUUUGUCUGCAAAGGAGCUGUAUAAGGUCCAUCUAUUAAGGCAAAUUAAAAAAAGUG
Pimephales promelas (fathead minnow) is the source of this 299-nucleotide non-coding RNA. NCBI's taxonomy places the organism in Eukaryota, Metazoa, Chordata, Actinopteri, Cypriniformes, Leuciscidae. The record is from RefSeq and is a predicted model, not a curated record.